CACGUAGGGUGCGAGCGUUGUCCAGAAUUAUUGGGCGUAAAGAGCUCGUAGGCGGUGUGUCGCGUCGGCCGUGAAAACCUGCAGCUUAACUGUGGGCGUGCGGUCGAUACGGGCAUCACUGGAGUUCGGCAGGGGAGACUGGAAUUCCUGGUGUAGCGGUGAAAUGCGCAGAUAUCAGGAGGAACACCGGUGGCGAAGGCGGGUCUCUGGGCCGAUACUGACGCUGAGGAGCGAAAGCGUGGGGAGCAAACAGG
Molecule: ribosomal RNA, 254 nt
Filed under: uncultured bacterium
Lineage: Bacteria
Description: partial 16S ribosomal RNA
Rfam family: Bacterial small subunit ribosomal RNA
Source: RNAcentral